UACGAAGGGGGCUAGCGUUGUUCGGAAUCACUGGGCGUAAAGGGCGCGUAGGCGGCUUUAUAAGUCGGGGGUGAAAGCCUGUGGCUCAACCACAGAAUUGCCUUCGAUACUGUAGAGCUUGAGGCCGGAAGAGGUAAGUGGAACUGCGAGUGUAGAGGUGAAAUUCGUAGAUAUUCGCAAGAACACCAGUGGCGAAGGCGGCUCACUGGCCCGAUACUGACGCUGAGGCACGAAAGCGUGGGGAGCAAACGGG
RNAcentral lists this ribosomal RNA (253 nucleotides) under uncultured bacterium. RNAcentral's name for it is "partial 16S ribosomal RNA". It matches the Rfam family "Bacterial small subunit ribosomal RNA", at positions 524 to 776 of the family's 1533-position model. The record is from RNAcentral.